UUCAGAACAGAGCCACAGCAGAGAGCACACAGCCCAUGUUGGGUGGCAGAAAGCACAGAGAUUGAAGUUCCCUACUGAACCCAGGAAAAGUUUCAAGAUUCUGGAGAAGGACCCAGAUGGAAUUUUUUUGGUGACAGGUCUUCCUAGUGGAUGGUGGUCAAGAUGAAGGGAAAAAGAACAUGGAACAGUCCAGUGAAGAGAUGAUAAUGUUUGGAUGAGUUUUACCUGGAUGGAAAGCCUGAAAGAAAUUGUUAACGUACAUGUGGAAAAUACCAAAUGUUCAGAUACUGCCUGAUCACCUGUCUGCAAGCACA
This 314-nucleotide long non-coding RNA is filed under the name Parus major (Great Tit). RNAcentral describes it as "lncRNA (ENSPMJG00000016770.1)". The record is from RNAcentral. Lineage: Eukaryota; Metazoa; Chordata; Aves; Passeriformes; Paridae.